RNAcentral lists this ribosomal RNA (468 nucleotides) under uncultured bacterium. RNAcentral describes it as "partial 16S ribosomal RNA". It matches the Rfam family "Bacterial small subunit ribosomal RNA", at positions 28 to 507 of the family's 1533-position model. The record is from RNAcentral.
GACGAACGCUGGCGGCGUGCUUAACACAUGCAAGUCGAACGGAAAGGCCCUGCUUUUGUGGGGUGCUCGAGUGGCGAACGGGUGAGUAACACGUGAGUAACCUGCCCUUGACUUUGGGAUAACUUCAGGAAACUGGGGCUAAUACCGGAUAGGAGCUCCUGCUGCAUGGUGGGGGUUGGAAAGUUUCGGCGGUUGGGGAUGGACUCGCGGCCUAUCAGCUUGUUGGUGGGGUAGUGGCUUACCAAGGCUUUGACGGGUAGCCGGCCUGAGAGGGUGACCGGCCACAUUGGGACUGAGAUACGGCCCAGACUCCUACGGGAGGCAGCAGUGGGGAAUAUUGCACAAUGGGCGGAAGCCUGAUGCAGCAACGCCGCGUGCGGGAUGACGGCCUUCGGGUUGUAAACCGCUUUCGCCUGUGACGAGGCGUGAGUGACGGUAAUGGGUAAAGAGGCACCGGCUAACUACGUG